Molecule: long non-coding RNA, 803 nt
Organism: Mustela lutreola (European mink)
Lineage: Eukaryota; Metazoa; Chordata; Mammalia; Carnivora; Mustelidae
Exons: 3
Source: RefSeq, a predicted model, not a curated record
UCUGGGAUCGUGAUGAGCUGGGCUCAGCUCCAGCCGUCCUCUGUCUUUGUAGCCGCUGUCAAGCACGGCUGUGACCUUGCAGACACACCGUGUGUCCGUUUGUGUAACGGCAGCCCGUCGAAUUGUCUGUUUCACCUCAGCGGCAAUCCUGUGCUCCUCUACUGCGCGUGCGUCCCAUUCAACCUCCUGUAGACUCUCCCAGAUAAAAAUAUGCACACCCCACCCCCUUAUCCAGGAACACAGGGAGCUUCCAAGAAGUAAAUGAGGAGAGAGAGAGAGCAAGAACUCCAAGAGUCCACGAGCACCACCGCCUGCUUGGUCCUGUUCCAGUUCCCCGUCCCAGCUUUUCCAUCUCAUGGGCACAGGUCCACCCUCUGGGGCCAAACCAGUUUGUUCUGCAAAGGCUUUGAAACCGUGCCAGGGUAUGUUGUUUAGAUGGAUUCCUGCCUUCAACACACACUGUCCUGAAACCAGCCCUGAACCAAAACCCUUAGACCCCUGCAUUGAGCCUAGAAUCCUCCGUCCUCCUGGUGAGAUCUCCCGGGGUGUCCACGAGUCCAACAGAGUCUCCUUCAGGUUUCCCUCACCUGCCUCACAGGGAGGCAGUGUUGCUCAGUCCCAUUCCUUUCUUGUAAGGAGGCACGAUCUCUGUGCAACGGGUCUCCCCUUCUUCAGAACUCCGCAAGUUCAAGCCGGGGAAAGGGCUCUCUUCGUCACACCAACAGUGCGGAUCCCCUCCUGGGAUAUCAGUGCAUUCUACUCUCAUGAUGAGGAGGCCAUUCAAGUGAUGUCAUUCAUUAAAG